This is a non-coding RNA of Odocoileus virginianus texanus, 647 nucleotides long. The record is from RefSeq and is a predicted model, not a curated record. NCBI's taxonomy places the organism in Eukaryota, Metazoa, Chordata, Mammalia, Artiodactyla, Cervidae.
CCACUCAGUACUCUCCACUGAAAAGAAAUCAGUGGGGGCCCUCCCACUGCCAGGAUUUAGAAGAGAUAUCCAUCCCUAUUCACCUUAGUCAUGUAAAUAUCCUGCUUCUGGGAUGACAUAUCUCACUGGUAUUACUUGGUAAGGACUGCUUCUUUAAAGGGUAUAAAGCCAUCGUACAGCAAUGCAAGAAUACAGCUUUCCUUAAUAUUAAUGGGCCUCUACUCUCAUUAAGGAGAAUCAAAGAUUGAAUUCUGAACCAAAACCUGGUGAAAAGCAGAUGUAAAACUUCUGAAAAAAGUUACACAACCAAAAAAAAAAUAUGAUGAAGGAAUUCUCAAAGAUACAAAUUUUUUUGUUUUUAAGAGUCCUUAAGAAAAGGAACAUAGACACAGCCUUUUUGCCUUGCUUAUUUGCUAUCUGCUUCUGAUUGUAGCUAUGGCUUUAAACUCAAGCCUACGGCAUGCCUCAAUGUGCCACAGCUUAGCUUUCAUUAACAAAGUUGCAGUUACUGACCAGCGAAGGUGAUGGAGCAAGUCCAAUUUGAAAUUUAUAAAGAAGUUAUGGAACCAUUGUGCUUUUUUUUUUUCUUUUUUACUACAAAAGAUAUUGAUGCUCUUAAUAAAAGUGACAAUUCAGAAGUGCUUACA